AGUAGCACUUGAGCUACAUGAAAUGCCAGCAGUUCAGGUGCAAUCUCAGGCCAUGACCAUGGCAUGGUUACAGCAGAAGUGUUCCACCUGCAGCUUCUGACUCCACAGGCUACCACAGCAUUUCCACUGAAUUUCAGAGCUUUGGUGCCAAGCGCCAGUAAGUUGUGCCUAAGCUUUCAUUCAAAGAUUAUUUUUUAUGGUAUUACAAGUAACAGUUAUAUUUGGAAAUAAUACACUUGCUUUUCAACAGUACCUAGAGAGGUAAUAUCUGUACCAAAAAAUCUGUGCUGAUUUUUCCUAAAGAAUUUGGAAACAAAACAGUGUAGCCAUUGUAUUUCAAACAUUACAGCAAUUGUUCAGUACAUGUGGUGCAACCCUACAUUUCUAUGUCAGAACACAGUGCCAACUCUGAGUCUCUGUAAAUUAUGGUACUAUGGGCAUGUGCAUGUUUAAACAAGUGCUUUCCUAUCUCCAGGUUAAAUAGUUGUGUUUAUGUAUAUGGUUUGGAAAAGCCAGACAAUACUCUAAUGCGAUAAAUGGGACCAUAAAACACGUGCUUAUUUUUCACACCAUUGUAUUUUUAAAACAAAGCAAAACCUGUUAUGUGGCUUGGAUUUUUCCUCUAAGUACAUUGGGAUUUGUUAUAUAUAAAUCCUAAUGAUGUUUAUUCUUGUAUACCAUAAAACAUGUGGAAAAAAGAGACCUAUUAAAACAAACACAGAUAAACAAAGAGUAAUUCAUUGCCUGCAGUUGAAAGUGCUUUGUGCUAUAGUUCUCCAGUAUACUCAUAAACCUGUGACUCUAAACAUCUUUAAAUUAUAGGUUUAGGCAGCCAAAAUAUAAGUGUAACUCCUUUUGGAUUCAACAGGCUCUACCUAGUGGCUUAACCUACUACUGAAGGUCAGGAGAAUAUAAUUCGUCUUCCACAAUGCCUAGACAUCACCAGCUACACUUCUGGAGGUAUCCUGGAAAAUGAAACUGUUAAAACAUUCCAAGCGCUUCGGGGGGAUUAUUGUCUAUGACAAGAUCCUCUUGGACAAUACACAGACCUUUGUGCAUGUACCACCAUCAUACCCACUAAAAAUCAAAGCUCCCCUUUGGGACCGCUCUGCUUGAUGCGCACAGGAUUUCAGAUGGGCUGGUAAUAUAUGGAAUCAGCACUGUCAAUGACAAAAAACCCUCAUGGCUUCUCACCCCCAUUCUCAGUUUAAGCAUUCAUUGUUCUUUUAAAUGUGUUAUUUUCUUACUUUUCAAGAAAGGCUGCCCAUGUACCAUACAUACCACCUAGCCCUAGAAGAUGCUAAUCACUGUGCUCUAUUUCCCUGUUUGGACAAAACAGGUUGUCUUCUGAGACACUAUUUCUGGAGGUUCUGAAGUCACAAAAGUAGAAAUAUGUUUUUAUGUAUUGUUCUUACUGGAAUUACCUGUGGAAACAGUGGUUGUAUAGAAUAGUCAAGAUACUGUGCAAGAUUAAUUGACUACAGGAUCAGCCAGUAUGCUCAAAGAGCAUUAGCUUUUCCCAAGAUAAAAAUCUUAUUACAAAUUAGAAACGGACUGUAACAGGCAGUGUUAACUCUUGAACCCAGUGGCCACUGCCACUCUGUUACUGAUUUGAACCUAACCUUUAAGCACUGGAGUGCUGCAAGGAAUGACCACAUGUGAACAACAUUAUUUCUUAAUGCAAAGGCACAUAGUGUAAGAAAAGAAGAGCAUCUCCAUGACUGACAAAUGUUUAGGAAGACUGGUGGCUGCUCUAGAAAUAAAAAGUAUGAAAAACCUUAAAGGUAAGCAUGUUGUUUUGACCCCAGAGUCAGAGCUAGAAAAACAGCAGGAGGAAAGGGAAAGUGAAGAAAAGUGACAGGAAAGGAGGAAGAAAGUUUGGUUUGCAACUGCAGGGGGCUUUCAGUCUUGUUAGUAUUAGAGGUUAGUAUUCUUUCUGGCUAUAAAGGAUAAUUUGGGUUAUGCUGAUCUUGUAUAUCUGAGACAAGGAACUGGACAAAUUCUGCAAAAGAGAUGCAUGUGACUCAUGGAAAGAAUAACUAGUGAAGAACUUGCUCGACUUGAACUCUUGCUUGUAGGGAUUUUAUUUACCCCUGGGGAAGGGUGAAAUUUUCCAGUUUGGCAUAGAGCUAAACUACUUUACCAGUAGUGACAGAGAUCUUGAAGCCUCCUUUGCUGAGAAGAUAAGCUUUCAUGGUACAGGAUAAAGGCUAACCUGUACUGAAGAUUAUUGCACAACAAGCAAGGGAAGAGAUGCUUUAAAGCAUGAUUCUUUUUACUGUGAAAACUAGCUAAUGGGGUAUUCAACACACAUGUAUUUAACUAGAUGCUCGCAUUAACUCAUUUUCAAUACAAUGCACAAACCAUCAUACAUUCCUUUAUUGUAGACACAAAAAAAUAAAGAAAAAUGCUCCCUGCUUUGAGAACUGAGAGUCCUUAGUAGCUCAUUCAACAAUAUGAUACUCAUAUUCUCAUUCACAAAGCUCCAUUAGAGAAUUCAGUCAAAACUCUUUUGAUUUUUAUUCCAAGUGUGAAUAAUAGGCCAGCUGCAUGGUGACAACAUUAUGGGCAGUUAAAAAAAUUUGUUGUGGAAACACUUAGAAGGAGUUACAUUCAAGAAAAUUACUUGCUAAAGAGGAGCAGUUUAAAUGCAAAUUCAGCCUCAGCUCAUGUGUGCAAACGUGUUUUAAAAGAAAGGGGGGAAAACCCACUUCCCUAAUGUGCUGAUUAGUGUUCUUAAUAGCAGUCUAAAACAUGCCUAGGUUAGGCAAAACUCACCAGUUUCUCCACAACAGGGCAGAACUUAAUCCUCAGGUGCUGCCUGCCUGAAAACUUGAAGAUCACAGAGAGGUAGAGAGAUGAGGUUUGGAUGCAAAUUCCAAACACUCUUAAUACAUAAGGUCUGAAUAUGGAGUUAUUUUUUUUUACAAACCCUACUUCAUAUUAUGAGGAAAUACUUCAGCUGCUGUUGCGAAUCUUCUGUUCAGAGUAACUAUCUGUAUAGUUACUCUGACUUUGUUCCACCUAAUUGUUUUGUCAAAUCACCUUGACCCUCUGCAAUAAAAACAAAUCCUAAGUUCUUUCAGAGGGAAAAUAACCCACCUCAUUUUAAAAUUAAUAAAACAUAAUAAGUGAAAGUUGUAAGUAGGAGUGAAAGUUCAAUUUAUGAGCUCUAUCUUUGAGCAGAGCUAAAUAAUUUAGUAGAAAUAUAUUCUGGUUUUCAAAAGAUACGUGGUAAUGUAGAUGACAAGAUUAGAAAACUAAAUGAUUGUGGCUUGCAAAAGCCUAAUGAAACACUGGAGCUGAAAAUGUCAGUAUUUAGUGAACUUAACUGUAGAGAAUCACAGGAGAUUCCUGCAGAUCCUGAGAACAUUAUGUUGUGUAUCUUGAGCAAAACUGGCAAACACUCAAAAAACCCACUGGUGUUUUUGCCAGUCAAUGCUAAGUACUUACACGUGGUCUUUAUUCAGGUUCUUUCAACUGAUGAGCGUUUCUCUCAAUUUAAAUAGUUGGCAGUCAUAAUUUCUAAUUUUCAUAAUUGCAGUUGCCUUUAAAUCAGCUCUGCCUAAAAAACUCCUGCAAGGGACCUUGCUGGAAAUCAUCAAACUUAAUGUACUGGAGAAGAAUCCUAAUCCUUGUCAGCCAGGGCUACAGUUCCACAGAAAAGGAGGGCUAACAGUGAUGAAUUGAGCUUAGAAGGAGUAUAGGAAUUAUUUGAUCUUAGAUCAGAGAUGGCCAUCAGUGUGCUCUGAAUAGGAAUAGGUAAGAAGCUUCUCUACAGAGACAGAUCAUUCUUCUUGUUUUCAGAUUACACCUUUUCAGUUCAGGAUUGCGCAUACUCCGAUAGGUCAAAACAGUGAUCCUUGAAAAGAACGUGCUUGUUUUGAAAGAAAAGGAUGGAAAUCUGCAUCUCCUUUUUUUUUUUUUCUGAAAAUUUAAACUUUAAUAUGAACAAAGCCAGCAAAUUCAUCUACGUGUGGCUCCUGAAUCUAAACAAUUUUCUGGAUUUUCUGAGUGCUGCUGGCUAAAAGUCAACACCCCCACUACAUGUGAUCCAAACAAGAAUGUAACUCACAGCCUAUUUAGCACUAAGGCACAUCUUCAGGUUACUUCCCGACAGCGAUACAGAUGUGUGUAGCUAACAGACUGUGCAUACUGUUCCUAUCUGCUGCAUGUGAUAUUAUAUUGCCCUGCAAAUCUGUGUGUUUUAAUAAAUCAGUCUGCAGAUGAGUGGCAGGAGCGCCUGCUUUUGUGUGCGGAAAGAUUCUGAAGAGACCAUCAGCAUGCCUCUGCCGGAGACUAGAGCCCCACUGGGAGAAGUGAGUGAGUGCCUGAAGGAAGGAAGGAAUGAAAGGCUGCCUCUCAGGCUCAGUGUCCUGAGUCUAACAGGCGAACACUGCAAAACUAACCAACAGGAGUGGAGAAAGGUGAUGUGACAGACUGAGGUAGGUUGAAGCCAUUGCACAAAAUACCAUCCACACAUGGGCUUCAGUCCAGAGACCAGAAAAAUCAGUAGGAAGUCUUUCCAUUGAUUGUAGCUCACAGAGAUUGAAGCCUUUUGAGAAAAGCAGUGUAUCUGCUUGUUUAUGCCCCUAUUCCACCCUUCGUGGAGUGUGGUUGUCCAUUUCACACAAUUUAAGACCACAGACCUUCUUGCUGGGAACUGCUAGGCAGGUCCUUCCCACAUUCUCUUGCGUCCCAGGAAGACCACUCUGGGACACGGCUUCUCACUGCUGUCCAUUUGCUCAGGACUACAGCACUAGUCCUACUGCUGGGCGUACUUACCCUGCCUCAGAAAAGAAGCCCUUAACUAAGAAUCAGAUGUGAGGCUGGUGGGAUAAGGACAAAUUUAAGACACUGGCUUCCUCUGAUCUCCACGUGCUUGUUUCGCUCAGGAUCUCAUAAGCUACUUGGGACAGCUACAGUACUUUGGAAGUAGUCACUCACAUAAUUUUCAUUUGACUAGUUAUAAACCAUGUGUUAAUUAUCU
Molecule: long non-coding RNA, 4990 nt
Organism: Pezoporus occidentalis (night parrot)
Lineage: Eukaryota; Metazoa; Chordata; Aves; Psittaciformes; Psittacidae
Exons: 3
Source: RefSeq, a predicted model, not a curated record